Molecule: long non-coding RNA, 5599 nt
Organism: Apis laboriosa (Himalayan honeybee)
Lineage: Eukaryota; Metazoa; Arthropoda; Insecta; Hymenoptera; Apidae
Exons: 5
Source: RefSeq, a predicted model, not a curated record
CGAAACUUUUCUCCGAAGUUUCAUUAAAGCCCGCGAAACUUUUUCAUCUCCGUACCCAUCCCGAGGUUUCAUAAAAUUCAUAAAAUGGACGGCGUGCAGAUAAAAAGACUCGGUUUCCAGUGGCCUAGUUCCUCGUAGUAUACGAAAAAUAACCCCGAGGCGAAGAGGGCCUCGAAUAGAUGAUAGUCAAUGACGGUAUUUCUAUAGGGACUUGCCCGUGGCGAGACUUUCAGGUAGGUAUGCGGGUAGAGAAAUUCUGCCGGGGGUAAUCGACACGCUUGAAAUUACUUCUGUUUCCUGUCUUCACCCUUCUUUAAUAACUAAUCGUUCAGUUAUCGUACAUUCCCCUCAGUGCGCGCAUCUCUCUUUUCCUGACAAAUAUUCCCAGUUUGUGACUAUAAUGAUAUGUCUCUGGACCGACUCGUAUUCGAUACUCGUAACUGUGGUCGUAUGUUAGUAGAAACGUGCGUUAAUAGAAACUAGCUCUUUGAAAUAUGUUGGAAAAAUUUGAAUGGGAUGGAGCGAAAUUUUAAUACUCUCGUAUUGCUUGGGAUUCGAAGAAUUUUUCGAGGUGCAGCUUCGUAUCGAUUCGGCAAUAAUCGGACAUGAUCGGUUCAAUUCGUGUUCGAUCCUUUAGCCGAUUGUGUCCGAUUAUUGUCGAAUAAAUCCGAAGUUAGUCAAUUCAGUUUCAUGUACUUAGUUUAUAUUUAUAUUAGAUUUUGGAAUGCAAGAAAUUGCAAGUUUCAAAAUAUCCUUCUCGAUUUUCGUCGAAACAACAUUUUAACUAUUAAACGAUAGAGAAUGCGUUCGGUUAUCCGGAUAAUUGUUACAAACGGAAGCAUCAAUCGAAUUCGUAUCGAAUCGGAAAUUUGCAAAGGUAAUGAUUUCUGUUAAAGCUGUACUCAAUUGACUUUCUCUUCGAGUAAAUUAAAUCUUAAUUCUGUCGAGCUAGUGUACAAUGGAAAAUCGUAGACUAGUGGAAUUGAAUUCUUCGGUGUCUCGCCACUGUCUAAAAUAUUGCUGACAACGAAUAUAAAUGUAAACGCUUGUGAAUAUUUCUCAUUUCGCGCCCCUAGAAAAUCUCAUUCCACUACCGAUAUUCGACCAUUAUUUGACCUGUUCCAUUUACGAUUUCGAACAGUAGUCGCGUUACAAUUGUUCUAUAAUCAGUUUCAUUGACCGGGCCAGGCUUUUCUUAAUGACGUUGGCAAACUUCGUUGGCUGUUGGAGCGAAACACGUUUAGAACGUAUUAUGUUGUUGACUAACAGGACCAUGGCAUAAUGUUCGCACAGUGAAAUUAAACGGUUCAGAAACUUCUGUAAUCUGCCACGUAAACCUUCUCAGUAGUGGGGUUAAUGGGAGAAUGUUGAAAGAUUUACGAAAGUUGAAUUUCUUACUCUGAAAUUCAUAGAAACUUUGCUUUUUCAUAAUGGUUCCUAGUUUUCUACAAUUUUAAUCAUUUUUUAAUAUUUUUCACAUGAGAUCAAAAUUAAUUGCAUUCUAUUAAAAAAAAAAAGAUAAAAUUGUUCGUUAUUUAAAAUAUAUUUUACGAAAAUAGUGUAGCGCAUUUCGGUGAAAAAAAAUAAUAUCGGGUGACUGACGAACGUUUCCUGAAAACACUGCGUGCCAUCGGGCGAUUAACUCGAGGAAAAAUUGGCCUCACCGCGGGAAAAAAAAAGUGGGCGUCGCAGCCGAUGAACUCUGCUCGUUUCUUUUCGCCUCGGGCCUUUUAACGAUUUCGCGCCCAGACUUUUCUCUUUCUCUUCCUCUCUUUCUCUCUCGAAUGCGAAGCUCGACGCUUCAUGACGAAGAUUCCCCAAGCUUUGGACUAAAAUUCUCCAACGGACACGCGAUAACAGCCAGUGUGUGUUACACGAUAAUCGCGAACGUUACGCCUAUGGUGGAAUUAAACGGUUUGCGGUUUCGUAUAAUCCAUUAUACAAGCCAUUGAUGAUGCAGUGUGAAUCUGGUAACGGAAUAACAAGGUAACGGAGAUCCAGGAUUUCACGUGGCAGACAGUCUGAGCUUGGAAUUCGUGGAACAAGUGGCCCGAAUAAUAAUGCUCGUAUGUGUACGCAUAUUUGUUUCUGCUCCCUUUGAGACGAAAUUGCUCGAGAAGAACGCGCUUCUCAGACAUUCGUCAAUUCUCUUUUUCUAUUUCUUUCUUUCUUUUUUCAACAAACUCGAACAAUGUGCAUAGAGAAAGAGAGAAAACUAGGACAAGACGUAGCUCUUUUCUUCUAAGAGUAAAGAUAAAAAGAAGAAAGAUGAUUGGUCGAGAAAAUUAUUUAUAGUUCUCGAUUAUAACGAGAGAAGGCGCAACGAAUCGGUAAAGAAAAUAAGAAACAUGGCGAAUCAUCGAAAUCCACUUGAUUUUCUCGCGUGAAUGUUACAAAAAACAAAAUAAUUUGCGUUCUUUUGUCUUGUUGGAAUUAAAAAAGUGAAUUCAGAUAUAUAUGUGUUGAAAUGUGAAUAUUAAUUGUAAUCACUAUAUAUAACAGUGUUGUGAAAAAUGAGAAGAAACAUUCAAAUAUUUGCGACGCGAGAUACCCAACGGCUUUUUUUCGUAUCGGUCGAUCAACGAAUUCGUGUCUUCUGUUUUAAUUACCUCGAAUGAAAUUCUUUGUGCAUCGCUACAAACAAAGGAACUAAGAGUCAACAUCGUUGCAUAGGAUGGAUGAUGCUGUUCCACUCGUGAAGGAUUUUCGCCUAUACGAUAUAUUCCACUUUCACGAUUGCGUGUAACUACCCUAAAUAAUUUCCAACCUCGAAGGGGGAUAGAAGCGAGUGGAAAAGAGUGGAGCGAUCUCGAAAUUGGAGAAAAAAACAAGGAGCAACACAUCUCGAAGCGGAAAAUCGUAUGCGCACGCCUUGUAAAAAUAUCCAAGGGGAUCUGGAGAAGAUUAGUUAACAAGAUUACUUACGACUGUCAGCGCUCUGUAAGCAAGUUUCUGAAUAGGGGUAUGGCGGGUUGUGGCGCGGAUGAUCUACUAUGCAGUCAGCCAGCCAUGUCAACGAUAUACAUUCAGCCCCGGCCCGUGGUGCAAGUAGGGCUGCAAUGUCUGCGAAACGGUAAUGGAACGGCAAACGACCUGGGAUUUACCCCUUGGAACAUUCUAACAAAGCUCUAGGCCACCGCAGCAGCCACCUACCACGAAGAGAGGAGAAAAAAAAUUGAACGGAUGGGAUGCUUGCAUGCUAUCUUCGACUCGAAUGGAUCGAGUUAAUCCUGUCGAGAUGAAUUUUAAAUCUUUGCUAAUCUCCAUUCGUGAUUGUCGUUUCGAUGAUCAAUCGAAAAUGUGAGAGAGAGUAAAUGUGAUGAUAUUUAUUGACUCUCCAAGGUGCCAUACUUUCUUUACGCCCGAGCUGACAUAGAUAACGGUCUAAAAGCCUCGCGAGGUGAAGUCGACGAUAUGACGGCCACGAAAGAGCUCGUAAAAAUCGCUAACGGAAUUAAUGGCCUCGAUGGCCGUGAAGACGAGGAGCAACAACGUCGUUAAAAAAUCCAUCCAGUGACGACAGGCCAACGUUUCCAACGUCAAUUACGUUUUCGCACGUCGAAAGGAGAAAAUUUUUCGAAGGGUUGGCGAACUUUGUUCGCGGUGGUAAUCCGUUUUAAAUCGACAGGGAAGGGGGGAGGGGCGAAAAGUUGCGGAGAAAAAUGUCGCAGCGUCGACGAGAUGGAAUUGAAUUCGGUCGAAUUCAGAACGCCUUGUACUAGGGAGCUUCGAGGUACACGUAGGAAUAUAGUAGGGAAUCACCUUGGGAGAUAUUUUUCGAGGGAGGGGAAACUAUAGUGGUGACGCGCGUUGUUGGAAUCUAUUUAUUUAGAGUGCAAAUAUGUUCGAUAACAUAGUAAUUUUCACUCUUAAUGUAGCGUCUAUUUUAGUGAAAAAUAAUUCUUGAAGACAAGUUUCUAAAGUUUUGCUUUCAAAUGUAUUUACAUGAUAAGAAUUGCUGGUUAACUUUGGAUUGUUCCAUUCAACAUCUAUGUUUACUCUUUGAAGAAACUCUUUCAAGAGCAACAACUUUAAUUUUAAUUUUAAUUUUAAUUUUUCUCAAAUAUAUUUGUAUUAUAAGAUUAGACAAGUUUUGCAAGUCUUAAAGUUUAAAUUAAAUUGUAUUAUGGUAAAGUUUAUUUGGUAUUUAUAUUAGCAAAAGUGAUAAUUUUGAAAUAGAAGGAAUGACGUGUCAACGAUCUUUGCGAUGUAGGAUUCAAUUUCCUUGUUUAAUUAUUAUAGUUACGUUGAUCGUGGUUAGUAUUUGGAUGGAUGCCAUUUGGAAAGUCCGUGUAUUGAUAUCAAAAUGUUUCUUAAACUAUAAACUUCGGCUAAUGACCGCAUUGAUUAUGACAAUCGAUAUUGAUUACAUAACGAAUAAUAAACAAAUAGCAAAUAAUAAUUUUGCCAGCAGAGGGAUCCAAUGAUUGCAAUUUGAUAAUCAAGUUAAUACUUGAUUGUGUACAGUAGCUCGAAAUCCACUUUAAACCACUUUAGAGUCUCAACUAAUAAUUACAACAGUAGAUUAAAUACCAAAUAACAAACAAAUAUCAAAUAAUAAUUUUGCCACGUAGAAAUCCACUGAUUCCAAUAUAAUAACCAAAGUUAAACUACAUUGGUCACAGUUAAUACUUGGUUGAUAUAUCAUUUAAUAAUGAUUCAAAACUCAUUUAUCUAACAACUACGUUAAAUAAUGAACAACAGAACAUUUAAUUUCGUCUAACAUACUUUCAAGAAAAAUAUAAAAAUAAUUUACAUUAUUUAUGUCUGUAUUUAUAUAUGUAUGUAUUUAUAUAUGUGAUAAGUUAUAUUCGAAACGGUUAUGUAGAGGAAUAUGUAAUUAAAAUUUAAUUACGUUAAUCACUAUAUAAUAUAUAAUUGGCAAUAAUUCAGAACUAUCUUUAAUUUAACAAAUAUAUUAAAUAACGAACAACAAAUAAAACAUGGAUACUUAUAAAUCCUAAUUAGUUUCAAGAAACGAUAAAAACGACUCUGUGUCUAUCAUCUACUGUGUAUAUCGUACACAACAGGUUGCGAUAGUCGAAUCCUGAAACGGUGUCACGUGGAAGAACAGGGGUGCGUGGAUGUAACAACGGAUUGGUGGCACCCUUCGAUGAUCCUUAGGGGGAUAUAGACAAUGAUUAAUCACGCUCGAGUGGCUUCGCUUCCCUCUUGGUGAUGCUCCCUAUGUAUCGGUCCAUCUCUUCCUCCCUUGGCCAGCAUCCACGGGAUGAAGGUUUAUGCGCAUUCGUUUCAGAUUUCAAACGCUUUGCCACUUCGAACAUCGGUAAAGCGUAGGAAUUCUAAAACAAAUACCACGCUUUUAUCUCGUUGCUUUCCUUGCUCCCGUUUCUUUCCUUUCUUUAACGUUCCUCCGUAGUAGUAAGUGUCGCUCGAUUCAUUCAUUUUCUCUCGAUCGAAAUCCAAUUCUUCCAAGAUGGAUAUCAGAUUAGAUUAGAUAAGAUUUUUUUUGUUCAAUAAGUUUUUUUGGAUUGAAAUGUUUGAAGGGGAGACAAGAUUUAUAGUGGGGUUUUUAACAAUAUAUUAAAAUUUAAAUAAAAUGAUAUCGAUUGGAUUGAAAUGUACAUUUUGAUGUAUU